GGAGACGGAAGCGUGUCUUCCUGUUUGGCAGAAGGAGGAAGCAGGAUGUGUGAAAUCUCACAUGUGCUUGUUGUUAUGGGUGACAUGCAGUAAUAUUUCUGUAGUGGUGUGUCCAUGCCUGCCAGAGCCAGCAUCUUCCUCUUCUGUUUAGUUUGGAUAACUAUGGCCCAGCUCUUGGCACAAGAAGAAAAAGAAAAAACUACUGCACUAAAAGAUUUGCUGUCCAGGAUAGAUUUAGACGAGCUGAUGAAAAAAGACGAGCCUCCACUGAACUUUCCUGAAACUCUGGAUGAGUUUGAAUAUACCUUCA
Long non-coding RNA from Sinocyclocheilus grahami, 310 nucleotides. RefSeq lists it as uncharacterized. The record is from RefSeq and is a predicted model, not a curated record. The transcript is spliced from 3 exons. NCBI's taxonomy places the organism in Eukaryota, Metazoa, Chordata, Actinopteri, Cypriniformes, Cyprinidae.